This 267-nucleotide long non-coding RNA is filed under the name Mytilus galloprovincialis (Mediterranean mussel). Lineage: Eukaryota; Metazoa; Mollusca; Bivalvia; Mytilida; Mytilidae. The record is from RNAcentral.
UGGUACAUUUUCUUAUAAUGUAUAUCAAAGAUACCAAAACAUCAAUGCAUGUUCACUUGGUUAAGUCAUUUUAAAUCUUAUUUAUUAUUAUUUCAUUGCACUUUUAAAGAUUUUUAUAAAUUUGUGUAACACAGUCUUAUGUUCUUUACUUUUUGUCAUCAUCUAAAAUUUAUUUUUCAAAUGUAAUUUUAAAAUGAGACUACUGGUUAUGUAGCCUUUAAACAUACCAUGUAGAGGUAUUACAUCUAUGAACAUUCAUCUCUCAAU